GCCUGGGUGGCUCAGUGGUUGAGCAUCUGCCUUCAGCUCAGGGCGCGAUCCCAGGGUCCUGGGAUCGAGUCCCGCUUCAGGCU
RNAcentral lists this transfer RNA (83 nucleotides) under Canis lupus familiaris (dog). It matches the Rfam family "tRNA". Rfam says of the family: Transfer RNA (tRNA) molecules are approximately 80 nucleotides in length. RNAcentral also lists the same sequence under 1 other name. The record is from Rfam by way of RNAcentral. Lineage: Eukaryota; Metazoa; Chordata; Mammalia; Carnivora; Canidae.